This 58-nucleotide ribosomal RNA is filed under the name Trichoderma asperelloides. Its description in RNAcentral is "partial 28S ribosomal RNA". Lineage: Eukaryota; Fungi; Ascomycota; Sordariomycetes; Hypocreales; Hypocreaceae. The record is from RNAcentral.
UUGACCUCGGAUCAGGUAGGAAUACCCGCUGAACUUAUCCUUUUCUAUUUUCCGGAAG